AACGUAUCAUCUGUUCCUUGGGCAGGCAAUCAGUUUGGAUGGAAUGCUAGAAUGAAGGUGGCCACUCAACUUGCAAGCCUCUUCGCCUGGUUUCAUGAGAGGGAUAUACAUUUGGUACUGUCAGACCAAAAGACAUAAUGAUUGACAACGACUUCAACAUUAAAGUAUUCGACUUUGGUUUCCUUACUCCGGUCACGAAUGAAGAUAAUUGGGGUCCCUUGCCUUAUCAUGCUAUUCGAGAACCUCCAGAGGCUAGAUACGC
Molecule: long non-coding RNA, 262 nt
Organism: Solanum tuberosum (potato)
Lineage: Eukaryota; Viridiplantae; Streptophyta; Magnoliopsida; Solanales; Solanaceae
Exons: 2
Source: RefSeq, a predicted model, not a curated record